UCUGGGUUGCGUGGAACAGCAGAAUUCAUAGAAUUGCUACUUUCUUGCCAGAAGUCUUGAAGAAAACUCUUCUCCCUCAAGUUCUGUGGAUUGACAUCCAUAAACAAAUCUGGGGGAGGUGAUGCACCACUUUCUAACAAGACAGCAUGUAAUUUCUGCGCAAAUUCAGGGUUCUUUGCUGCACUUAUGACAUACUUUGAGACAUUCUUGACUUUUACUUUCUGCGCACAUGUCGGUUUCCCAGGAAACGGCGGCAAGUUUUCACCAGAUAUCUGCUGUGAUUGCAUUAGCUUUCCAAAGUCAUGCUCAAACCUCUCCGUCUGAUGCUUUUCAACAGCACAUCUGUCACUGUUUUCUUCAUGGCUUCCAUUAAACAAGUUUGCCACAAUACCAGAAUUUCUGGAAUCUGUUUCCUCCAAAACUGAAAAUGCUGGCGUUACAAUUUCUUUCUCAGGUACAAAGCAAGAAUGUUGCAACGUGUCCAGAUCAUCAGGAAAUACUCUCGUAUCAGUGCCAGAAACUGGAAGAAAACUACUUGGCACCUCCGAAGGAAUCAGAGCACCCGGAGCACCCAUUAAAUCAAUAAUGUAUUCACUGCAAUGUCAAGAUUGAAUUAGGGCUCUGCAAAAUAUAACUACCAUCACAUAAAAACUGAGCCCAAUAUCAGGAAGCUAGAAUCAUAACAUAAAAACCAUCCCUUACUUUUAAUCAAGUUGGACUACAACAGUCAAUGAAUACCUUUUGUCGUCUAGUUUAAUCAAGUUCACAGCCCCAUCGUCAGUUCCAGUGUAAUAGCUGCCUUUUACCAGCAUACACGGGAGAUCAAUCCUAUCAGCAAGCACCUAGAAAAAAGAAAAGAGAACUAUUCAGCUUCACCCUGUAUCCUAUAGCAGUGAUCAAAAUAAAAUAAGUAAGAGGUCUAAGACCAAAGCUAGUAACAAGUAAAAACAAAUUGUUAUAACCUUGAAAAGCAAAGCCCUGUGACGUGCAAGACCAAAACUAACUCGUCCAAGUGGAAUAACAGUGGUAUUCAAAGAAUUCCUUAGUUCAUAGCUACGAUGCUUCCACCUUCUCAACGCUUCAUCCGCAUUCUCAACGGGGCCACCCAUCUGCUCUACAACUAUAUCCGCAAUCUUCUGAGUCAAAUCACUUGACACCUGACCACGAGCAAAGUCUGGACAUUCCAAAGACAAAACGGACACUCUCCUCUCUAGCUCUUGCAGUCCAGGAUCAAUCAACCGGUUCACCAAAACCACCUCGUAAUCAACAUCGUCAGAAACAGAGAUGGCUUGAAGAUCCACGAGAAGUGGCAUCUUCCCUUGUGAAAGAGAAUUGGAUGUAACCCCAUACACAUCGUAAAAACCGUCCCUAACUUUCUGGUCAUAGUUAAUAACCUUAUGUCCCUACAUAAAACAAGAAAAGUAAACACCAGCUUAAGUCCAAGCAGUAACAGUGAUCAACUACAUCAAUAUCCUAACUUCUCUAACCAUAAACUACACAUGAAUCUAAUAAUUAGUCAAUGUACAUAGUGUAUGUCCCCUACAAAAUGUAAUCACCAGCAUGAUCAGCAGUAGCAAUGUUCAAUUCCAGCAAAACCCUAAUUUCUCACUCUCUAGACAAAUUAAUCUAACGAUUAGUCAAUGUAUAGAGUGUAUACCCAAUAGCGUAAGGAUAAAAAGUCAACGGCGGAGUCAGCGUUAGUGACCGGAGCCUUAACCCCAAGGCUAAUCCUCUUAGCUGCAUCAAGCUGAGCCGUAUCUGCAUUCUCUCUCGGAUCGGGAUCAGAAACGCUGAUCGCCAUAGCUAACUGGACUUGGUACUCCUCCUCCAUCAAACCAAAAUCGAUACCGUCCACAGCCGCCGCCAUAUCCCGCCCCGCAGGCUCAAACGUCUCCAGCCUCGGCAAGUGAUCCAUUCACGAAUUAUAAAAGAACAGUAUGAGGAUUAACCUGGGUAGGAACUCUGUCAGGAUGGAAAAAUUUGGAGGUCGAGUAACUGCUCCCAUGAAAAGAACAACAUUUGGAUGCCGCAACCUCAGCAUUAUUUCAAUCUAUCGGAACAAAAUAAACCAUUCAUAGUAUGAUUAAAUAGACUGCAAGUAACUCUACAGAAACAAAUAUGUCUAUGAUUGAAUGAUCUGGAGUUACUUCAGAUCUGAACUGUGUCAAUGCAUCACCAGAGAAAUCUUGGUCCAGAAACUUCUUAACAGCCACUUCCUGAAAUUAGAAACACAAUCAGCCAAGAAAUUCAUGUAUAAGAUAGCAAUCCACUUGAUUGAAAGAAAAUGGGUUUUAGAAAGCGCAAACUAAGCAUCUUUUCUAAGAAUAUAAGACUCCAAAACUUAACUCACAGUUCCAUUCCACUCUGCACGGUAAACUUCUCCAUAUGAACCUGCAACAGACACAACACCGAGAAGGAGCAAAGUUAGAUCUUGUAAUCCGGGAUACUAAGGGCUAGUCUGGUUUAUCAAACUGAAAAUCGUUGGGGUUUAGAUUUUAGCAACAAUCUUCAUCAAAAGUUCCUCUCCUCACGGAUACAACUAUAAGUUUGCAAGCUUCUAUGGAAAUCUACUGUUUGAUAAAACCUUACCAAUACCAAUCCGCUCGCCGAUCUGAAGAUCUUCCCACAUAAUUUCCCAUUUUGCAGCCUCGCCGAGAAAUGGAUUAAUUCCUUGGUCAUGACUAUCACAAACAGAAGGCUCCCCAUCAGCAGUGUCAAAUUGACACUGUCAAUCUCCAUUUUUUCCGGUGAAGAAACUUUACCCAUAUUAUCCACCUCAAAGGUUUUCUUCAUUGAAAAAUCGACCUCCCCUGAAGUACAAACAGCUGACAUUUGCAGUGCUGUGGGGUUCCUUUCAGAUUCUCUCAUUUGUUCAGCUAACUGAUCUCCGACCUAUUCAUGUGGAUGGAAAUAAACAAAGACUUCAGAUUUUUAAGGAUCGAGUGUGCAGGUGGGAAGAAUUAAAAGAAACUUGUGCUAAUUUAGUAAAAGGGGAAGUGUAUCCUAAGAUUACCUUUUCUGGGUUGCGUGGAACAGCAGAAUUCAUAGAAUUGCUACUUUCUUGCCAGAAGUCUUGAAGAAAACUCUUCUCCCUCAAGUUCUGUGGAUUGACAUCCAUAAACAAAUCUGGGGGAGGUGAUGCACCACUUUCUAACAAGACAGCAUGUAAUUUCUGCGCAAAUUCAGGGUUCUUUGCUGCACUUAUGACAUACUUUGAGACAUUCUUGACUUUUACUUUCUGCGCACAUGUCGGUUUCCCAGGAAACGGCGGCAAGUUUUCACCAGAUAUCUGCUGUGAUUGCAUUAGCUUUCCAAAGUCAUGCUCAAACCUCUCCGUCUGAUGCUUUUCAACAGCACAUCUGUCACUGUUUUCUUCAUGGCUUCCAUUAAACAAGUUUGCCACAAUACCAGAAUUUCUGGAAUCUGUUUCCUCCAAAACUGAAAAUGCUGGC
This 3452-nucleotide long non-coding RNA is filed under the name Brassica napus (rape). RNAcentral describes it as "long non-coding RNA (BNAP_LNC002005)". The record is from RNAcentral. Lineage: Eukaryota; Viridiplantae; Streptophyta; Magnoliopsida; Brassicales; Brassicaceae.